AUUGAACGCUGGCGGCAUGCCUUACACAUGCAAGUCGAACGGCAGCACGGGGGCAACCCUGGUGGCGAGUGGCGAACGGGUGAGUAAUACAUCGGAACGUACCCAGCCGUGGGGGAUAACGUAGCGAAAGUUACGCUAAUACCGCAUACGUCCUGAGGGAGAAAGCAGGGGAUCGCAAGACCUUGCGCGAUUGGAGCGGCCGAUGUCGGAUUAGCUAGUUGGUGGGGUAAAGGCCUACCAAGGCAACGAUCCGUAGCUGGUCUGAGAGGAUGAUCAGCCACACUGGGACUGAGACACGGCCCAGACUCCUACGGGAGGCAGCAGUGGGGAAUUUUGGACAAUGGGCGAAAGCCUGAUCCAGCCAUGCCGCGUGAGUGAAGAAGGCCU
Molecule: ribosomal RNA, 387 nt
Filed under: uncultured bacterium
Lineage: Bacteria
Description: bacterial SSU rRNA
Rfam family: Bacterial small subunit ribosomal RNA
Source: RNAcentral